Molecule: unclassified non-coding RNA, 253 nt
Filed under: uncultured Bacillaceae bacterium
Lineage: Bacteria; Bacillati; Bacillota; Bacilli; Caryophanales; Bacillaceae
Description: contains 16S-23S intergenic spacer region
Rfam family: Bacterial small subunit ribosomal RNA
Source: RNAcentral
UACGUAGGUGGCAAGCGUUGUCCGGAAUUAUUGGGCGUAAAGCGCGCGCAGGUGGUUUCUUAAGUCUGAUGUGAAAGCCCGCGGCUCAACCGUGGAGGGUCAUUGGAAACUGGGGAACUUGAGUGUAGAAGAGGAAAGUGGAAUUCCAAGUGUAGCGGUGAAAUGCGUAGAUAUUUGGAGGAACACCAGUGGCGACGGCGACUUUCUGGAUUGAAACUGACACUGAGGCGCGAAAGCGUGGGGAGCAAACAGG